UCGAGUGGCGAACGGGUGAGUAACGCGUGAGGAACCUGCCUCAAAGAGGGGGACAACAGUUGGAAACGACUGCUAAUACCGCAUAAGCCCACAGCUCGGCAUCGAGCAGAGGGAAAAGGAGCAAUCCGCUUUGAGAUGGCCUCGCGUCCGAUUAGCUAGUUGGUGAGGUAACGGCCCACCAAGGCGACGAUCGGUAGCCGGACUGAGAGGCUGAACGGCCACAUUGGGACUGAGACACGGCCCAGACUCCUACGGGAGGCAGCAGUGGGGAAUAUUGCACAAUGGGGGAAACCCUGAUGCAGCGACGCCGCGUGGAGGAAGAAGGUCUUCGGAUUGUAAACUCCUGUUGUUGAGGAAGAUAAUGACGGUACUCAACAAGGAAGUGACGGCUAACUACGUGCCAGCAGCCGCGGUAAAACGUAGGUCACAAGCGUUGUCCGGAAUUACUGGGUGUAAAGGGAGCGCAGGCGGGAGAACAAGUUGGAAGUGAAAUCCAUGGGCUCAACCCAUGAACUGCUUUCAAAACUGUUUUUCUUGAGUAGUGCAGAGGUAGGCGGAAUUCCCGGUGUAGCGGUGGAAUGCGUAGAUAUCGGGAGGAACACCAGUGGCGAAGGCGGCCUACUGGGCACCAACUGACG
This 638-nucleotide ribosomal RNA is filed under the name uncultured bacterium. RNAcentral's name for it is "bacterial SSU rRNA". It matches the Rfam family "Bacterial small subunit ribosomal RNA", at positions 91 to 745 of the family's 1533-position model. The record is from RNAcentral.